This 2457-nucleotide long non-coding RNA is filed under the name Piliocolobus tephrosceles (Ugandan red Colobus). RNAcentral describes it as "lncRNA (ENSPTEG00000004236.1)". The record is from RNAcentral. Lineage: Eukaryota; Metazoa; Chordata; Mammalia; Primates; Cercopithecidae.
AAUUGUUAAUUGUUAAGUGUUAAUUAUUAAUUGUUAAGUGUUAAUUGUUAAGUGUUAAUUGUUAAUUAUUAAUUUCUUUUUUUUUUUUUUUUUACAAAUUUAGAAAACAAAUUUCAAUUGGUACCAACAGCUGCAUUAUUAAUAUACUUCUAUUUAUUAUUAAAAGAAAAGUAUACUAUAUUAAAAAUAGAAGUGGACAAGGGUAGAUAUAUAGAACAUAUUGUUUUAGUGUGAAGAAAAUUAAAAAAGAACAAAUACCGUUAUCUAAGGAUUGCAUUUAUAUAUAAUUUUAAAGUUUAAUAUUAUAACAUAUGUAUAUAAUCAGAAAAGUAACAUUUUUAAGUUCUACUAAUAUUCCGAACAUUGCUAUAUGCACUUAACUAUAUAUAUAUAUAUAUAUAUAUAUAUACAUACACAUACAUACAUACACAUACAUAUAAUACAAAAAAAUGAAAUAUAACACAAUUUGUAUUUUCUUACUAGUAAUUGAAUUAUUUAGUUUAGUGAGUUCCUUUGUCAGAAAUGGAGUAAAUAAUAAUGCACAAACGUUAACACCCACUCUCGAGAAAAGUGCAAUUGAUAAAUCAAAUAAUUUAGCUGCUAAAAAUGAUGAAAUAUGUGAGCCACAACAUAUGGCUGAAGAAAUGAUGGAACAUAUGUUAAAGGAUAAUGACCUAUUUAGUCAUAUAAUAGAUCCCCUGCAAAAUAAAAUGAGUAACACAUAUUCAUGUUCACAUAUAAAACACACCAACAUGUGUAUGAAUGAAAAAGAUAAGGUACCUUUUUCAUUAACAUGUACAAGUGAUAAAUAUGAAAAAUUAAUAGACGAUUUUACAAAUAAACGCUUAUGUCAUUCUGCAAUAGCUUUUAGCAACACUCUGUUAAAAUCUUUUAUUGAUCCUGAUAAAAAUGCUAAUACAUUUGAAAGAAUGAUAGCAAGUUAUAAAACUGUAUUAACAUGCAUUGAUAGUGAUUUAAAAGAUAUUUACAAUAAAAGCAUGAGUUUAUUUUCCGAUUUACGUGAUGCUAUUGUUAAAGUGGUAAAAGCAGGAUCUUCCCAAAAAAUUAUUGAAGUUUUAAAAAAAAGAGAAAAAUUAAUAACUUCUGUUUUUUGUGAAUUAAGAAAAGGUGCAAAUUCAAAAAUUGUAAGCAGCGGUUUAGUAUAUGAAUUUUUCACUAUUUUAAAAGUUGACGCUCAGGAUUUGUUAGAUGAAGCAUAUGUUGCAUUCUCGGAUUACUAUCAAACUUUUCCAAAUUUGGCCAAAACUUUAUUAGAAAAAGAUGGAUUAUUAGAUAGAUUAACUUAUAUUCAUGAACAAUUAACAAUUGCUAGAACUAAAAGUAUAUUGGAUAAAAUAAAUAAGCAUGCAAAAGAUGAAGUAAUAAAUAAUGAAGCAUUAUUAAAACAAUUUGAUAAUUACAAACAUCACCACACAAAUGGUUCAUCUACUUUCGUACAACAGAAUGAAGUUAUAAUGAAUAAAAACUCUCAAAAUGUUAACACUCUUUCUGCAAAAGUAUAUAACAAUAAUUCCGAUGUAAAUAAAGUUCAAAUUCCAGCUCAAAAAACAGUCGUACAAAAUAUAUCAAAUAGUGAUCAUACACAAGAAAAUGACGAAUUAAAAAAUAAUUCCGAUGCAAUUAAAGUUCAAAUUCCAACUAAACAAACAGUCGUACAAAAUACAUCAAAUAGUGAUCAUACACAAGAAAAUGAUGAAUUAAAAAAUACUUUAUAUUCUACAGAUAAAUUACCACUAAAAAAUGUUAAAGAUUUAACUAAAGAGUUAAUAAACGAUAUUGGUGUUGUUAAAUUUGAUAAAGGUGAACCCACUGAAUACAUUGAUGAAAUUGCAGUUAAAAAAUUAAUAGAAAUAUAUUUCCUUGAUUUGACCAAUAACACUAUGCUAGUUCAUAUGUUACUAAAACCACAAGCAGCAUUAUUAUUAAUCAUUCAAUCCUUUAUUAAUAUGACACCUUCUCCGAAAAAAGAUGCAAUAUCAUUUUGUAAAAAAUCUUUAGUUGAUAAUAAACUAGUUGAUGUUAUUAAUCCAAAUCAAGAGUCAGAUGAAGAUAAAUUAAUUAAAGAUUUUGCUGCUAAGUAUAAUGCUAUUUAUGAAGAAAUAAAAAUGGAAGAAACAAAGGAAGAAGAAAAACGUAUAAUAGAUUUGAAAAAUAAGCCUACAACAUUAUCAGCAUUACAAGUACAAAAUAAGAAUAAACCAGACAGUUCUCAAGGUACGUCAAGCAGCAAUACUUCGUUGAUCGCAAUGUUAUCUGAAAAAGACGGUGUAAACGUAGAAGAGUUAGUUAAUGAAAAUGUACAAAUGAAAAAUUUGGAACCUGAUAUUGAUAAUGCUUAUCAACCUUUUAACGUAAGUUCAACUUUGUAUAUUAAAACUUCCUUUGGAUUCUUAUUUUUUGUUGCUGCUUUUAUAUGUUUCUUGUAAUUCUAUUAAA